Molecule: long non-coding RNA, 308 nt
Filed under: Homo sapiens (human)
Lineage: Eukaryota; Metazoa; Chordata; Mammalia; Primates; Hominidae
Description: non-protein coding LINC00200:3
Source: RNAcentral
GCCUGAGCGUCGCACGCUUUGCGUAGAUGAGGGAUGGCGCCGGCGCAGGCCUGCGCGCCACGCGCUUUAGGUGGAUGAGGGAUGGCGCAGGUGCAGGCCUGCGCGCCUCACGCUUUAUGUACAUGAGGGAUGAGGCAGCACAGGAAUUGGCACAACCUGAAGUCAGCUCUGCAGCUUUCCAAGCUUCGUUCUGCGUGUCCUGUACUCAACAGUCAUCUCAUGCUGCAGGGUGGCUGCGUGUGCUCCGUACAUCACACCCAUAUUUCAGGUAGGGACGGUUCCCGGAGGGUGCUCAGCACCAUGCCGAC